CGGAGGAAGGUGGGGAUGACGUCAAGUCAUCAUGCCCCUUAUGUCCAGGGCUUCACACAUGCUACAAUGGCCGGUACAAAGGGCUGCGAUCCCGUGAGGGUUAGCGAAUCCUUUAAAGCCGGUCUCAGUUCGGAUUGGGGUCUGCAACUCGACCCCAUGAAGUCGGA
RNAcentral lists this ribosomal RNA (167 nucleotides) under uncultured Actinomycetes bacterium. RNAcentral describes it as "uncultured actinobacterium partial 16S ribosomal RNA". It matches the Rfam family "Bacterial small subunit ribosomal RNA", at positions 1164 to 1330 of the family's 1533-position model. Lineage: Bacteria; Bacillati; Actinomycetota; Actinomycetes. The record is from RNAcentral.